UAGAGUUCUUGCCCUGUAGGGUAGCUCUCCCACCCUUAUGUCAACAUACCUUUGUUGCUUUGGCAAGCCUGAUAGGCUUAGGUCUAGCCACCGGCGUCAGCGGGUGAGAGCUUGCCAGAGGACCCUCAAACUCUGAAUGUUAGUGUUGUCUUAGUACUAUAUAAUAGUUA
RNAcentral lists this unclassified non-coding RNA (170 nucleotides) under uncultured Dermateaceae. Its description in RNAcentral is "sequence contains ITS1". The record is from RNAcentral. Lineage: Eukaryota; Fungi; Ascomycota; Leotiomycetes; Helotiales; Dermateaceae.